CUGAUUCAAAGGAUUUUCCUGCCUCAGCCUCCAAAGCCUAAUGCUGUUUCACGUCCCUAGUAAGUUGCCCCUGCUGCUCGCCCAACCACAGAACUCUUUCCCACCCUUGCGUCAAUUUUGCCUGCCAACCACUGUUCAUCCUCUGGGACUCAACUCAAGCCCCAGGCAGCCUUCUCUGAGCUUCCAGAUUGAAGCUCCCCUCUGGUUCCUACUGCUUCUGGAUAUUUCCUCCAGCACAACAUUUAUGUAUCAAAAACAUGUGUUUGCUAUGCCCCACCUACUCCAUCCCGACACUUUGUGAGCUUCUCAAGGACAGGGUGCACAUCUUAUUCACCUUCGUCUCCACAAUGCCAAGCACAGGGCCUAUUACGCUUCAAUAAAUGUUUGCUCAAAUAUAA
Molecule: non-coding RNA, 398 nt
Organism: Microcebus murinus (gray mouse lemur)
Lineage: Eukaryota; Metazoa; Chordata; Mammalia; Primates; Cheirogaleidae
Source: RefSeq, a predicted model, not a curated record